UGCUUGUCUCAAAGAUUAAGCCAUGCAUGUCUAAGUAUAAAUCUGGUUCAAGAUGAAACUGCGAAUGGCUCAUUAAAUCAGUUCUAGUUUCUUUGAUGGUGUCUUACUACAUGGAUAACCGUAGUAACAUAGAGCUAAUACGUGCUUCAAAUCCUGACUGGUGCUCUCGGGUGCCUGGAAUAGGAUGUAUUUAUUAGAUCCAAAACCAAUGCGUUGUCUGCAUGCCUUCACGGGUGUGUAGGUGGCGGUUAUAUUGGUGAUUCAUGCUAACUUUUCGGAUCGCAUGGCCUUGUGCUGGCGAUGCUUCAUUCAAGUUUCUGCCCUAUCAACUGUCGAUGGUAGGGUAUUGGCCUACCAUGGUUGUAACGGGUGACGGAGAAUUAGGGUUCGGUUCCGGAGAGGGAGCCUGAGAAAUGGCUACCACAUCUAUGGAUGGCAGCAGGCGCGCAAAUUACCCAAUCCCGACCUGGGGAGGUAGUGACAAUAAAUAACAAUGCGGUUCCUCUUUUGGUUCUGCAAUUGGAAUGAGAACAAUCUAAACACCUUAACGAGGAGCAAUUGGAGGGCAAGUCUGGUGCCAGCAGCCGCGGUAAUUCCAGCUCCAAUAGCGUAUAUUAAAGUUGUUGCAGUUAAAAAGCUCGUAGUUGGAUUUCGGAACGGUCGGGUUGGUCCGCCCUGCGUGGUGUGUACUGGCCUUGGUGGUAUGGCUGGGGUGGUUGUCUUAACGGGUGGCUGCCUCUAGUCUGCUACCCUUGCUGCGUGUAUUGCGUGGCAAGUGAUCGUUCUUCUCCCUCGGAGACGAAGUCUGUCCUUUGCUGGAUGGGCUUUGGAUGCGAGGUGUUUACUUUGAAAAAAUUAGAGUGUUCAAAGCAGGCCUAUAUCUUCGCUUGAAUACAUUAGCA
RNAcentral lists this ribosomal RNA (902 nucleotides) under Euryplegma auriculare. RNAcentral describes it as "SSU rRNA". It matches the Rfam family "Eukaryotic small subunit ribosomal RNA", at positions 29 to 809 of the family's 1831-position model. Lineage: Eukaryota; Metazoa; Porifera; Hexactinellida; Lyssacinosida; Aulocalycidae. The record is from RNAcentral.